UGCCAGCAGCCGCGGUAAUACGAAGGGGGCGAGCGUUAUCCGGAAUUACUGGGCGUAAAGUGUUCGUAGACGGUAUUUGUUGUUUUAUGUAAAAUACUAGGUUCAUUACUUAGAAAUACAUAUAAUACACUUUUACUAGAGUUUAACAGAGGAUAACAGAAUUUUAUAUUAUAGGGGUAAAAUCUGUAGAUUUAUAAAGGAAUGUCAGUGGCGAAAGCGGUUAUCUGGGUUAAUACUGACGUUGAGGAACGAAAGCGUAGGGAGCAAACAGGAUUAGAUA
RNAcentral lists this ribosomal RNA (280 nucleotides) under uncultured bacterium. RNAcentral describes it as "partial 16S ribosomal RNA". It matches the Rfam family "Bacterial small subunit ribosomal RNA", at positions 506 to 784 of the family's 1533-position model. The record is from RNAcentral.